CAGAUCUUUAUGUAUUGAACAUUUGUGCAACUGAUACAACUUUUGAGUGUUUUUGUGUUCAUUAAAAUUAAUAUUUAAAAAAUCUAAAAUAAAAACUUUUGUCCACACUGAACUGCACAAAGCUGACUAAGAAGUUACACCAUAGUAGGAGGAGUUACAACACAGUGGGAGGGAUUAUAUAACAAUGGGAGGAGUUAUACAACAGUGGGAGGAGUUAUACCACAGUGGGAGGGGUUACAGGACAGAAGAAGGAGUUACAUGACAGUGGGAGGAGUUACAGGACAGAGGAAGGUUACAUGACAGUGGGAGGAGUUACAUGAUAGUGGGAGGGGUUACACCACAGUGAAAGGGGUUACUGGACAGGGGAAGGAGUUUCUUGGCAGUGGGAGGACUUACACCAGAGUGGGAGGAGUUACAUGAUAGUGGAAGGAGUUACAUCACAGUGGGAGGGGUUACAGGACAGAGGAAGGAGUUAGACCACAGUGGGAGGAGUUACACAAAAGUGGGAGGGGUUACAGGACAGAAGAAGUAGUUCCAUGGCAGUGGGAGCAGUUUAACCAGAGUGGGAGGAGUUACAUGGCAGUGGGAGGAGUUCUUUCUUUCGCUCUGAUGAGAAACAGUAGUUAUAUACAGCGUCUAAAGCUAACGAGUGGAACAGAUGAAGUAACACUAAUCUGUGUGAAAGUAAACAUCAGGUGUGUGAUGCGCGUUACGCGCUCGUCUCUGUUCUCAGAUCAGAUUAGCAAAGCGUGCUAACUGCACGAGCUACAUACACUCACCACAGGCACCAACAGUCUGCUGCUUCCAAGCUCUAUUCUUCCUCCUAACGUCUCUGUACACGUGUAAUGAGAGUCGGACGUGACGGGAGAAGAUGAAACCGUAACGAGGUCCUACGCUUUCCUCCGUGUUCGCAGGAACUGACUGCAGUUAGGAAAUAAAUUUGUGAGCAGGGAACUGAAGAAAGAUCGGACCCAGGCGUAGGAUCGGUCCGAGGAAUCGGUCAGCGUGGUACCUGAUCGCAUCGGACUGAGGAUCUGUGGUCUGGGGUGGAGGGUCAACGUGGGGGUUCUUCUUAGCUCCAGGACGGAAUGAAUGACGUGAGCGGUGUGUGUCUCAGCAGAUCGGCUGCGUUUCACUGGGUUAAAGGUCACAGUUUGCGCUGUUCUGCGUCUUCACUGGGUUUUAAACGAUGAGAACUGAAGCGGACGAGAGAAAAGACCAGCUUCUUCUCUUUCAUACGCCGAGAACAGAUUUGGUGAGCAUCCAUAAACAGCAGGGAACCGAGGAACGGAACAAAAACCCCUAAAUCCACCUCUCACUCACUCACUCACACACACACACACACUCACACACACACACACACACACACACACACACACACGGAGCUCCUCCAACACCAAUUACACGAGCGGGAGCUGAGUAGCAGCGGGGUUUUUAUUCAGCUGAAUUUUGGUGUCUUUUUCUGCAGUCGAACUCCACGACCUCUCGCCUAUCAGACUCCACUCACUCACACACACACACACACUCACACACUCCACGUCUCAUCCAUGUCAUCUCACACACACACACACUCCGUUCUUAAGCACUCAUCCCCUGUUCAUCAGCUGCACCCUGCACGAUGUCCUGUAGUGAUAGAAACAGUGAUGAAUGCAAGUUGAUUUAUUUUCCUUUAACAGCCCUGAAUAACGUUCCUCUUACUCCAUGGCAAUUUUAUAUUUAUUAAA
Ictalurus punctatus (channel catfish) is the source of this 1724-nucleotide long non-coding RNA. Lineage: Eukaryota; Metazoa; Chordata; Actinopteri; Siluriformes; Ictaluridae. The record is from Ensembl.